GACGAACGCUGGCGGCGUGCUUAACACAUGCAAGUCGAACGGAAAGGCCCUGCUUUUGUUGGGUUCUCGAGUGGCGAACGCGUGAGUAACACGUGAGUAACCUGCCCUUGACUUUGGGAUAACUUCAGGAAACUGGGGCUAAUACCGGAUAUGAGCUCCUGCUGCAUGGUGGGCGUUGGAAAGUUUCGGCGGUUGGGGCUGGUCUCGCGGCUUAUGCGCUUGUUGGUGGGGUAGUGGCUUACCAAGGCUUUGACGGGUAGCCGGCCUGAGAGGGUGACCGGCCACAUUGGGACUGAGAUACGGACCAGACUCCUACGGGAGGCAGCAGGGGGGAAUAUUGCACAAUGGGCGGAAGCCUGAUGCAGCAACGCCGCGUGCGGGAUGACGGCCUUCGGGUUGUAAACCGCUUUGGCCUGUGACGAAGCGUGAGUGACGGUAAUGGGUAAAGAAGCACCGGCUAACUACGUG
This 468-nucleotide ribosomal RNA is filed under the name uncultured bacterium. RNAcentral describes it as "partial 16S ribosomal RNA". It matches the Rfam family "Bacterial small subunit ribosomal RNA", at positions 28 to 507 of the family's 1533-position model. The record is from RNAcentral.